CAGUAGCCACGGUAACACGUAGGGCGCAAGCGUUAUCCGGAAUUAUUGGGCGUAAAGAGCUCGCAGGCGGUUUGUCGCGUCUGCCGUGAAAGUCCGGGGCUCAACCCCGGAUCUGCGGUGGGUACGGGCAGACUAGAGUGAUGUAGGGGAGACUGGAAUUCCUGGUGUAGCGGUGAAAUGCGCAGAUAUCAGGAGGAACACCGAUGGCGAAGGCAGGUCUCUGGGCAUUAACUGACGCUGAGGAGCGAAAGCGUGGGGAGCAAACAGGAUUAGAUACCCCCGUAGUCCCUGUCUCUUAUAC
RNAcentral lists this ribosomal RNA (301 nucleotides) under uncultured bacterium. RNAcentral describes it as "partial 16S ribosomal RNA". It matches the Rfam family "Bacterial small subunit ribosomal RNA", at positions 509 to 807 of the family's 1533-position model. The record is from RNAcentral.